CCGUAGGGGGUGACUGCGGAGGGAUCAUUACCGAGUUAUUCAACUCAUCAACCCUGUGAACAUACCUAAACGUUGCUUCGGCGGGAAUAGACGGCCCCGUGAAACGGGCCGCCCCCGCCAGAGGACCCUUAACUCUGUUUCUAUAAUGUUUCUUCUGAGUAAAACAAGCAAAUAAAUUAAAACUUUCAACAACGGAUCUCUUGGCUCUGGCAUCGAUGAAGAACGCAGCGAAAUGCGAUAAGUAAUGUGAAUUGCAGAAUUCAGUGAAUCAUCGAAUCUUUGAACGCACAUUGCGCCCGCCAGUAUUCUGGCGGGCAUGCCUGUUCGAGCGUCAUUACAACCCUCAGGCCCCCGGGCCUGGCGUUGGGGAUCGGCGGAGCCCCCCGUGGGCACACGCCGUCCCCCAAAUACAGUGGCGGUCCCGCCGCAGCUUCCAUCGCGUAGUAGCUAACACCUCGCGACUGGAGAGCGGCGCGGCCACGCCGUAAAACACCCAACUCUUCUGAAGUUGACCUCGAAUCAGGUAGGAAUACCCGCUGAACUUAAGCAUAUCAAUAAGCGGAGGAAG
Molecule: ribosomal RNA, 568 nt
Filed under: Fusarium solani
Lineage: Eukaryota; Fungi; Ascomycota; Sordariomycetes; Hypocreales; Nectriaceae
Description: eukaryotic LSU rRNA
Rfam family: 5.8S ribosomal RNA (bases 181-334)
Source: RNAcentral